This is a non-coding RNA of Pelodiscus sinensis (Chinese soft-shelled turtle), 1082 nucleotides long. The record is from RefSeq and is a predicted model, not a curated record. NCBI's taxonomy places the organism in Eukaryota, Metazoa, Chordata, Testudines, Trionychidae.
CAAAACCACUGUGUUCUGUCGACUUACUGUUGACAGAACGUGGCGGUAGUCUAGAUGCAGCAGGAGAUUCAACAGCUGUAACAACACAUGGAGGCUACUUGGCAGCUGCAAAGCACAGAUGCUGAGUUUGCCAGUGACACUUCAUUUCCUGAGCAUAUCCGAGAAUGCAUCAGUCGCUGACAUCAAAGGUAUCAGAAACCUCAUUGCAAGGGACGAGAACUGACCUGGAAAAGUAGGUGGUUAAUUGAGCUGGCCACUGGAAAAUGAGCCAUUCUUUUGAGGGGGAACCUGCUCCCAAAGUUAAAUGGUGAGUGUGUUUUGCCUCCCUGACAGCUAUCACUGCAUAAAACCUCACUGUCUUGAAGCAACCUUCCUGGAAAUUGGAGAAGGAAUAUAAGUUGCAUGAAGUAAAAGUUUGGGAGCAGACACCAGGAAGCUGCUUUCUGUUCACGUUGCUGGAGUGCUUGCAGCCACCCUGCAAAUUGCUCUUUCAAUAAUGAGCCUGCUUAGGUUAAGAAGCAUGGAGCAUUCGGUCCAUGCACAAGAGGAGACUGGUGGCUGGUGCAGGUAGCAGAGGAUGGAUGAAAGAGUUGGUGGAUGGGAUGUGCUGGUGAUGAAAGGCUGCAUCCCCACUUUCAGCUUCUUGAACAGUAGCUGCUGAUCCAGCCUCUUGAAUCCAGAUCCUCAAAAGCAGUUAGGAGCCCAAAUCCUGUGGAGAUGAAUGGCCCUUCCAUACUCUUUGUCUCAGGAGCAUUAUGGACUAUAUGGAGUUAAUGCUUGCAAAAGGAUUUGAGUUUCUCGGAUGGAACCUGCCUAUCUUGUGAUCCCCAUUACUAUGUGGGGGCAAAAUAACACUGUAAAACUCGUAUGUUGUUUUGCUGGUCUGUCACCCAUUUCCAUAGCCAUGUGAGCUGUAGUUGGCAGCCCUAAGCUUGUCAAUUUCAACAGCUUGCUGGAUGCCCAGUGUGUAGUGAAAGGUUGCUAAAGCCAUUCGUACUUUACAAUUACAAUACAAUUGUACUUGUCUGGUACCUUUCAGCCCAGACACUGUCUCCUUUAGAAGUAGUUAAUUCUAUAAGACU